GUGUCCUGAAUGGAAGGAUCCCUUUGGGAGCCUCUCAGGAGGGGGACCUGGGCCAAGGGCCACCAGCAUUGUGCUGGCAACUGUGGGGGUGGGGGUGGGGUGC
This is an unclassified non-coding RNA of Nannospalax galili (Upper Galilee mountains blind mole rat), 103 nucleotides long. The record is from Ensembl. NCBI's taxonomy places the organism in Eukaryota, Metazoa, Chordata, Mammalia, Rodentia, Spalacidae.